RNAcentral lists this ribosomal RNA (254 nucleotides) under uncultured bacterium. Its description in RNAcentral is "partial 16S ribosomal RNA". It matches the Rfam family "Bacterial small subunit ribosomal RNA", at positions 524 to 776 of the family's 1533-position model. The record is from RNAcentral.
UACGUAGGUGGCAAGCGUUGUCCGGAAUUAUUGGGCGUAAAGCGCGCGCCAGGCGGUCCUUUAAGUCUGAUGUGAAAGCCCACGGCUCAACCGUGGAGGGUCAUUGGAAACUGGGGGACUUGAGUGCAGGAGAGAAGAGUGGAAUUCCACGUGUAGCGGUGAAAUGCGUAGAGAUGUGGAGGAACACCAGUGGCGAAAGCGGCCACCUGGACUGCACCUGACGCUGAAACGCGAAAGCUAGGGGAGCGAACGGG